Molecule: ribosomal RNA, 822 nt
Filed under: uncultured bacterium
Lineage: Bacteria
Description: bacterial SSU rRNA
Rfam family: Bacterial small subunit ribosomal RNA
Source: RNAcentral
UUGAGCGGAGAUAUAUGGAGCUUGCUUUAUAUAACUUAGCAGCGAACGGGUGAGUAACACGUAGAUAAUCUAUCCUAUACUGGGGGAUAGCCCGAUGAAAGUUGGAUUAAUACCGCAUACAGCUAUAUAGUUGCAUGAUUAUGUAGUGAAAGAUUUAUUGGUAUAGGAGGAGUCUGCGGCACAUUAGCUAGUAGGUGAGGUAAAGGCUUACCUAGGCGACGAUGUGUAGCCGGUCUGAGAGGAUGAACGGCCACAAUGGAACUGAGACACGGUCCAUACUCCUACGGGAGGCAGCAGUGGGGAAUAUUGCACAAUGGGGGAAACCCUGAUGCAGCAACGCCGCGUGAGUGAAGAAGGUUUUCGGAUUGUAAAGCUCUGUUAGCAGGGAAGAGGAAGGACGGUACCUGCAGAGGAAGCCACGGCUAACUACGUGCCAGCAGCCGCGGUAAUACGUAGGUGGCAAGCGUUGUUCGGAAUAACUGGGCGUAAAGGAUGCGUAGGCGGUUAAACAAGUUAUAUGUUAAAUAUAUAGGCUUAACCUGUAGAAAGCAUAUAAAACUGUUUAACUAGAGUGCAGGAGAGGUAAGUGGAAUUCCUAGUGUAGCGGUGAAAUGCGUAGAGAUUAGGAAGAACACCAGUGGCGAAGGCGACUUACUGGACUGUAACUGACGCUGAGGCAUGAGAGCAUGGGGAGCAAACAGGAUUAGAUACCCUGGUAGUCCAUGCUGUAAACGAUGGGUACUAGGUGUGGGUUGUGAAUAACAAUUCGUGCCGUCGCAAACGCAAUAAGUACCCCGCCUGAGGAGUACGAUCGCAAGAUUA